CCCAUGAACAGUGAGAUCAUGACCGAGCAGAAGUUUGUCACCCAACCGACUCAGCCACCCAGGCACCCCGAGGAAAAUAUUUUGGUCACGUGGUUUUCUUCCUACCCACUACUGUCUUUAAAAUGCAAUUUUUCGCUGUUUUAUAAUCAUAAACCUGUGGCUCUCAGGGUUUUAGAGGGUAGAAUACGGUUUGUUCUGUAGUUCAUGUUAGAGAGGAAACUGAAGUAACAUGAUUGUCUUUGAAGACAAAGAGUAUGUUUAGAUAGUUCCUACCCUUCCACUCUUCUCCAGCUGCCAUCUUGCGUGUGGCAUUGGUUGGCUUCCUUGGCCUGAUAGAGCAGGGCCAUCAAGUUUUUCAACACAUCUCCAAACCAAGGGUUGAUGCCACGAGUGAGGGGGUAGCAGCAGCUAUCUGCUUUCUCCUCUUUAGUUUUAAACCUGAAACUUGAAAAACAAAAAUCAUUUUAAUUGAGUAAUUAGCUUCAAUAUGUCCACUUUUCAGAAUAAUACAUGUUCAAAACGACCUUGUGAUCUGAAAGCGAGGAAUGUUUAACAUACAAAUAAAUAUUAGAUGUGGACUCGUCCUUCGCGGUUAACACUUUUUGCAAACCUUCCUUGGUUGCUGACGGUCAGAAUCUUUGGAUUCUUGUUGCCUGCAGAACUUCAACCCAGAUGCUUCUAAAACCGGAGUCUUUAGCUUUCUUGUUUAGGGGUGAAAAUACCUAGAAAUAAAUGGGACACAUCUUGUGAAAAAGAUGUUUGGCCCCACAUAGAUGGCUGAUAUUUAAGUAAAUGGUAAUUAAUUCUUCAAGGGGUAAACAAGUGAUGUUAUUAUUACUGUAAGUCAGUUAAAAAUAUCAGGGCUUCAGGAUGGGAGCGUUUGAACUUGGUGUCACGGAUUUUGGGAAGUUCUGAAAGGAAUGAGAAGCGUUUAGAUUCCAGGAAUCUUUGAUUAAAAUAUAUUAAUGAAAGUGGGAGAGUUCUCAGCUGGCUGGUAUGGAAGAUAAAAUACCAUAAAUGUCAGCAUCAUGCCUGGGCAACUCUGUAAGUCAUUAUAAACAAUAAUGGGCGCUACAAAAGACAAGGUCAGAACAUUUCUCUUAACUCUUCCAUACACAUUCGUUUUAUUUCUGGUGCAUAUCUCAUUUCCUUUCAAGUAUCUUUAACUGUAAGGAGGGAGAUAACCUUUAUAACUCUCUCUCUUAUUGGUAAGGACACAGAAUGAAAGUCCCUCAGUUUAUACAUAGUUGAUGUAAUCUAUGAACAGCAUAUUUUUCUGAGCGGUCAUAUGGUUAAGUGAUGGAGAGUCCCGUAAGAGGUAUGUUUGCACAUAAAUUACAAAUUUUGCUACGUUAAUGGGUGAAAGUGCACUGGAGGCAAACAGACAUUUCUUAUGUGACCUGUGGAUUUUUGACACAGGGCUCAGGCCAAGUUUGAGCUGGGCUUCCACAGCAAUGACCUUUUCGUCCCUGUUAGAGGACAAAUGGAUUCUUCUAUCAUUCAGCAAAUAUUUAUUAAACACCUACACUCUUUGGGGCUCGUUCCUAAUAUUCUAAUUUAGAAUGAAGACAUAAAAAAAUUACAUAUGGAAUAAAUUAAAAAAAAAUUGCGAGGUAGCCUCUUUCAAAUACCCUUCACAAAGGAGUAAUUACCGGUUCUGACUUGAUUGAACGUGUAAAUAAGUAAUUUUUUUUUUUUUGGAAAAGCUAAAUCACUGUAUCUAUAAUUUAUAAUAAAGUAUGAAUUAAAUUGGACGACUAUGAAAUUUACUGAUUAAAACCUUGAUUUUGCCUAAAAGUGUUUCUGAUAACAGACACAUAACCAUAACAGCCCUCUGUGUUUCUGAUAUACAUUCCCAUACACAUUCUAUACACAGGCUUGUUAAAUCAGACUCAGGUUGGGCAGUCAGUGGUAACUUACACUUAAAUCUCUUCAAGCUGUCAGCCCUUCGGAAUUCCUUAAAACCAUCAAGAUUUGCUGUAAAGACUGGGAAGAGAGAGCAGGUUGUAGCAGAAGGGGUUACUAUUAGCCUUUACCAUGACUCAUUAGGACGCGUCCUGAAAUAAGUUUAACUCCAUAUCAGACAAGGACUAAGCAUUCCUUAGUGGUUUAUCAGGUGAAAAGGAAGGAGGUUGUCAUAUUCAAGCAGCCCCAGCAAUGUGAGCAGAAAUAUAUCGCUUUAUUAUUUUCCCUUUCUUUUGCAGAAAAUAGGAUAUAUUGAUUUAUUUUAGAUUGUUUAGGGUCUAAGGUGUUUUAUGCUUGCAAAAGUUAUGAAUUAAAAGGUCCUAAAUGGUAAGGUGUUAAUGGGAAUGAAAUUCACACGCAAUGCAGGAGAUAUUAGUUGGAAACAAUAAAUCUUGUCAGGAUCAAGGUACUUUUAUUACUGUAAAAAAAUGAAGGUCACAAGAUAAUACUAUUCAGGGAAGUAUGUAAGACAUUUAAGGAGAUUCAUCAUUUUUCAUAUGACAUACAGAUACCCUUUUAAAGGAUUUCAGUAUUUUAUCUCUGAUUUGAUUUGGUAUUUAAAUAUUUUAAGUCAACCCUUUAGAAACCCAUAUGUAUUAUUAUUUAUUUAUUUAUUUUUUUACAUGAUCUAAUUGCCUGGUGUAACAAGUAGAUGGGUGGUCAGGAUUUCUGAUGAGUGUCCAUAAUUGCCUGGCAGUGUUCACAUGGCUUCAAUAAUUUUAUUUACAAUGAAGGCUUAAGGAAAUCCACACUGAGGGAGCAUCUAUUAUAUACCAGACAUUAGCCAAGUAUAUUUAGGCUGAGUGGGUCAUCUCAUUUUUUUGGUGCUGAUGAAUAUUAUUUGUGUGCCAUUUUCUUGGGUGAAAAACUGAGACUCAAUGCUUAAUAACUAGCUUACCAUCUAAGAAAUAGAACUCAGUGGGAGCCCAGGGCUCUGACUUCACAGCUUCUCUCUGUUUAAAAUCAGUGACUGGCCUCACCUAGCAUUUUGCGGUAUUUGUAUUCUUCUAUAAUAUCAAUGGGGCAGUGAAACUCAAAUGUACGUGGUCUCAGAAGUUUAAAUGACCCAAGUGUUUGAAAUUGCAGAUGUAUCUCUUAUUUUUAAGCUGGUAAAAUUCUGAAAGCCCUGUGUGUGUGUGUGUAAAGUAAAAUUUAUUUUUAUUAAUUUUAUAACUAGCUACUGUUCUCCCUAUCUGUUGCUGGGGCCUGGAGGUGAUGGUACCGUUUUUUGCUUCUCUCUGUAAUUGUUUAUAUCUAGAGGAAUUUACACAUGAAAGCGAGUUAUAAAUAAGCUUCUUGUUAGACCCUGAAUGGUGCUUUCACCUCCCCACACUCCUGCCUCACUGCUCCUUACAGAAAAAAAAGAAAAAAGAAAAAAAAAAAAAAAAGAAAGAAAGAAACCUCUGGAUCUGAACCCUUGAAACACCUUUGCCCUCCUAAGUUAUAUUCUCAAGAAGGGCUUAUAUAGUGACCAAGCAGUGCCAGACGCUAUCUUAAGACCUUGACAAGGAGAGAUUGAUUUGUAGAUUCUCUAUAACAGCCCAGUCAGUCAGGAAUCAUUAGCAUCCCCACUGAGCAAAGGAGGAGACUCAGGCACAUGGAGGUCGGUCCCUUGCCAAUGUCAUAGCCAGCAAGUGGUAAAAAUGGAACUCGAACCUAGAGCAUCUGAGGCUAGAGACCUUGAUCUUAACCAUUCUGUUGUGCAGAAAUCCCAAAUGAUAUUACAGCCACUUCCUACCUAUGGAUAUAAAGCCUGUAUAUCAAGUCACACAUUUAUUUAUUUAUUUAUUUAUUUAUUUAUUUAUUUAUUUUUGCUGAGGCUAAAGUCUUUAUCCAUAUGUCAUUCCAUCCCCUAUAUUUUCCCUCCAAUAAUGCUUCAUAAAUCAUUCCCUACCUGAGUUAUAUUCACUUUCUCUCCCCAUUAGGUCUUUUUCUUCUACUUACACAUUUGAUCAGAUGUCUAACAUCUUAAAAAGUAUCAACUUCUUCAUAUCCUUCUAAUCAUAAGAUAGAAUCUUUAACACACUGUAUUCUUUUCAUCUUUUUCCUUUUAGCUGUCAGCUCCCUACUCUCUGGUUUGUGCCCCAUGCCCUUCCUACAACUGUUCUUGCUAAGCCACCUCUGCCUGAGAAGUUUGUACCUUUCGGCUUCGCUGGACAACAUUUUUUAUGAAGUUCUACCCCUAGGGCUUACAAAAACAGCUGUCACUAUAUAAGAGGUGCACCCCUAUAUCUCUGAACGUUUCCCCAAAUUUCUCACUCCUGUCUUGUGUUAUCCCCAAAGCCUCUAUCAAGGGUUAUAUUCUUUAUUUUAGGAGUCACUACCUACCAGAAGAGCUGUUUGCAAAUGACAGUUGGUUUCUGUGUUUCUGUGUCUCAGGUCGUGAUGUAAAAUGGGCAGAAUUGAACUCACUAUCGCCCUUUGCCAGGACAUCACCUCUGUUCCUCCUUCUGGCUUCCAAUGAGCUGAGCAAGAAAAAGAUUUUUAGCAAAUGAAUUAAUCCAUCUUAUUCCCCAAGUACUCUCUGCUUGUUAAGAACAGUGUUAU
This is a long non-coding RNA of Leopardus geoffroyi (Geoffroy's cat), 4512 nucleotides long. RefSeq lists it as uncharacterized. The transcript is spliced from 3 exons. The record is from RefSeq and is a predicted model, not a curated record. Lineage: Eukaryota; Metazoa; Chordata; Mammalia; Carnivora; Felidae.